Molecule: ribosomal RNA, 305 nt
Filed under: uncultured bacterium
Lineage: Bacteria
Description: bacterial SSU rRNA
Rfam family: Bacterial small subunit ribosomal RNA
Source: RNAcentral
UUGUUCCUACGGGGGGCAGCAGUGGGGAAUAUUGGGCAAUGGGCGCAAGCCUGACCCAGCAACGCCGCGUGAAGGAAGAAGGCUUUCGGGUUGUAAACUUCUUUUAAGAGGGAAGAGCAGAAGACGGUACCUCUUGAAUAAGCCACGGCUAACUACGUGCCAGCAGCCGCGGUAAUACGUAGGGGGCAAGCGUUAUCCGGAAUUAUUGGGCGUAAGGAGUACGUAGGUGGUUUUGUAAGCGCGGGGUGAAAGGCAGUGGCUUAACCAUUGUAAGCCUUGCGAACUGCAAGACUUGAGUGCAGGAG